Long non-coding RNA from Xenopus tropicalis (tropical clawed frog), 340 nucleotides. RefSeq lists it as uncharacterized. The transcript has 2 exons. NCBI's taxonomy places the organism in Eukaryota, Metazoa, Chordata, Amphibia, Anura, Pipidae. The record is from RefSeq and is a predicted model, not a curated record.
UGUUUUUAAAGAGUUCAGCUUAAUCCUCGUCCUCUCCUGUAACAGUGAAAUAUAUAUAUAUUAAUAUACCCCAUGAUAUAACCUUUCAGGAAAUGGAAAAAACAGUUAUUACAAUCAGACACACAAAUUACAAAUUAUUAUAACAGCAGAUAAACGGUUACUGUAUUAUAACUGGCAACUAUAUUGCACUUUACUAAUGGACAGCCUCUUAAGAAAGACAAAGGCCAUUCAGGGAAAAAUUCAGGGUAAAUUGGAUCUUACUUUUAAAUACUGUUAAAAACUUUGAAGAGUCAGCUUCUUCAUUUUCUGCAGAUAAAGAAAAACAACAGUGUUCACCUCA